AGCGAACGCUGGCGGCAGGCCUAACACAUGCAAGUCGAACGAACCUUUCGGGGUUAGUGGCGGACGGGUGAGUAACACGUGGGAACGUGCCUUUAGGUUCGGAAUAACUCAGGGAAACUUGUGCUAAUACCGAAUGUGCCCUUCGGGGGAAAGAUUAAUCGCCUUUAGAGCGGCCCGCGUCUGAUUAGCUAGUUGGUUGAGGUAAUGGCUCACCAAGGCGACGAUCAGUAGCUGGUCUGAGAGGCUGAUCAGCCACAUUGGGACUGAGACGCGGCCCAAACUCCUACGGGAGGCAGCAGUGGGGAAUCUUGCGCAAUGGGCGAAAGCCUGACGCAGCCAUGCCGCGUGAAUGAUGAAGGUCUUAGGAUUGUAAAAUUCUUUCAACGGGGACGAUAAUGACGGUACCCGGAGAAGAAGCCCCGGCUAACUUCGUG
Molecule: ribosomal RNA, 434 nt
Filed under: uncultured bacterium
Lineage: Bacteria
Description: partial 16S ribosomal RNA
Rfam family: Bacterial small subunit ribosomal RNA
Source: RNAcentral